ACACUCCUACGGGAGGCAGCAGUGGGGAAUCUUGCGCAAUGGGCGAAAGCCUGACGCAGCCAUGCCGCGUGUAUGAUGAAGGUCUUCGGAUUGUAAAAUUCUUUCACCGGGGACGAUAAUGACGGUACCCGGAGAAGAAGCCCCGGCUAACUUCGUGCCAGCAGCCGCGGUAAUACGAAGGGGGCUAGCGUUGCUCGGAAUUACUGGGCGUAAAGGGAGCGUAGGCGGACAUUUAAGUCAGGGGUGAAAUCCCGGGGCUCAACCUCGGAAUUGCCUUUGAUACUGGGGGUCUUGAGUAUGAGAGAGGGGUGUGGAACUCCGAGUGUAGAGGUGAAAUUCGUAGAUAUUCGGAAGAACACCAGUGGCGAAGGCGACACACUGGCUCAUUACUGACGCUGAGGCUCGAAAGCGUGGGGAGCAAACAGGAUUAGAUACCCGAGUAGUCCCAUGAU
RNAcentral lists this ribosomal RNA (452 nucleotides) under uncultured organism. Its description in RNAcentral is "partial 16S ribosomal RNA". It matches the Rfam family "Bacterial small subunit ribosomal RNA", at positions 333 to 801 of the family's 1533-position model. The record is from RNAcentral.